Molecule: long non-coding RNA, 763 nt
Organism: Pseudopipra pipra
Lineage: Eukaryota; Metazoa; Chordata; Aves; Passeriformes; Pipridae
Exons: 2
Source: RefSeq, a predicted model, not a curated record
GAUUGGUGGCCUUCUUGGCCACAGUGUCCACAAAGUGAUUGAGUUUAAAACCUCUACUGAUAGGAGGAAAAGUGCCAACAAAACCUCAGCUCAGGCUGCUCAGGGAACUAGUAAAUAAGGUCCCCUGGGAAAACGUUUUUGCAGAUGUUGGGGUCAAUCAGGGCUGGUCACUUUUUGAACAUCAUCUUCUAAGGGCACAGGAGCAGGCAAUUCCCAAAUGCCGGAAAUCAAGCAGAUGAUGGACCAAGGGGGUCUCAGUGCCCUGAGCUGAAGGACCAUGACUGUGAGAAUGACCAACUCCCAAUUGAUCCUGAACCUGUGCAGAAUCUGCUGCUCCAGUUGGAUCCCUACAAAUCUAUGAGCCCUGAUUGGAUUUAUUCCAGAAUCCUCAAAGAGCCAGCUGAUGUCAUCACAAAACCUCUAUUGAUGAUUUCUGAGCGGACUUGGGAAUCUGGAGAGGUCCCAGCUCACUGGAAGCUGGUGAACAUUGUCCCAAUUUUUAAGAAGGGCAAGAAGGAGGACCCUGGAAACUACAGGCCUGUCAGUCUCACUUCAGUGUCUGCUAAAGUUAUGGAGAAGGUUUUUCUGGGAGGUAUUGAAAAACACCUGAAAGACAAUGCAGUCAUUGGUCACAGCCAGCACAGCUUCAUGAGAGGAAAGUCCUGCUUGUCAAACCUGACUUCCUUUUAAGACAAGGUCAUCCACCUGGUUGAUCAAGGGAAGCCAGUUGACGUAAUAAUUUUUGACUUUAGCAAAGCUUUCA